AUUGAACGCUGGCGGAAUGCUUUACACAUGCAAGUCGAACGGCAGCACGGGGGCAGCCCUGGUGGCGAGUGGCGAACGGGUGAGUAAUACAUCGGAACGUGCCCGGUCGUGGGGGAUAACGUAGCGAAAGUUACGCUAAUACCGCAUACGAUCUGAGGAUGAAAGCGGGGGACCUUCGGGCCUCGCGCGAUCGGAGCGGCCGAUGCCAGAUUAGGUAGUUGGUGGGGUAAAGGCCUACCAAGCCGACGAUCUGUAGCUGGUCUGAGAGGACGACCAGCCACACUGGGACUGAGACACGGCCCAGACUCCUACGGGAGGCAGCAGUGGGGAAUUUUGGACGAUGGGCGCAAGCCUGAUCCAGCCAUUCCGCGUGCAGGACGAAGGCCUUCGGGUUGUAAACUGCUUUUGUACGGAACGAAAAGGCUCUGGCUAAUACCUGGGGCUCAUGACGGUACCGGAAGAAUAAGCACCGGCUAACUACGUG
Molecule: ribosomal RNA, 484 nt
Filed under: uncultured bacterium
Lineage: Bacteria
Description: partial 16S ribosomal RNA
Rfam family: Bacterial small subunit ribosomal RNA
Source: RNAcentral